AGUUUGAGUAGAUCGCAAUGAGUUUAGCUGGUAAAGUUGUUAUUGUAACCGGAGCGAGUUCUGGCAUUGGUGCCAUCACAGCUGUUGAAUUUGCCAAGCAAGGUUCCAAAGUGGUGCUCACGGGACGAAAUGAAGCAAAUCUGAAGGCUACAGAGGCGGCCUGUAAAGCAGCCAACAGCAAAGUGGAACUACUACUCAUCACCGCUGAUGUCACAGUGGAUGCGGAACGCAUUAUAAACUCGACAAUUGACAAGUUCGGACAGUUGGAUGUGUUGGUGAAUAAUGCCGGUUUUGGUGAAGGAGGUUCAAUCUUAGAUAUUGAGGUCGAUCAAUUUGAUCGCGUCCUCGAUACCAAUCUGCGUUCGGUCUUCCUGCUGACUAAAUACGCCGCACCACAUCUCGUGAAGACACAAGGUAAUAUCGUGAAUGUUUCCAGCAUCGCAGGAUUACGUUCGUUCCCUGGUGGAUCGGUCUAUUGCACUUCCAAGGCAGCACUUGAUCAAUUCACCAGAUGUAUCGCCUUAGAUUUGGCACCGAAAAAUGUACGUGUGAAUGAAGUAAAUCCCGGUGUGAUAGUGACAGAAUUCCUAAAGCGUGUUGGCUUGUCGGAAGAGGAAGAAGCUAAAUUUUUGGAGCAUUCAAAGACUACGCGUCGGUCGGUCGCGUCGGUGAACCAAAGGAAGUGGCUGAUGCCAUUAUUUUCCUUGCUAGUGACAGUUCGAGCUUUAUAACGGGCGCAACCCUGCCUAUCGAUGGUGGCAGACACGCCAUGUGCCCGCGUUAAUAUUUCGUAGAAUACUUAGAUAUACAUAUAAGUAAAAAUAAAGAA
Bactrocera dorsalis (oriental fruit fly) is the source of this 829-nucleotide RNA transcript. RefSeq lists it as uncharacterized. The record is from RefSeq and is a predicted model, not a curated record. Lineage: Eukaryota; Metazoa; Arthropoda; Insecta; Diptera; Tephritidae. The transcript has a single exon.